RNAcentral lists this long non-coding RNA (1189 nucleotides) under Marmota monax (woodchuck). Lineage: Eukaryota; Metazoa; Chordata; Mammalia; Rodentia; Sciuridae. The record is from RNAcentral.
UAUGAUUCAUUUCUUCUUGGAAACCUCUGGCCCUUCUGUAUUUUUUCUUCCCAAAAAAGUUAGGUAUUCACCCUAAUAGAUGAAGGACCUGUGGUAUAAAAUGCCUGUCUCAGCCUCCCUAGCCAUUGGGUUUACAGGCAUGUGCCACUAAGCCUGGCAAGGGUAUAAUAUUUUGUCAGCUUCAGUAAAUAUAAAAUAAGUGACAGGUAUUUUUGUAUUCAUGUUAUAAAGUGUAAAAAAUGACUGAUAGGAAAAAAGAAUUAAGCAUUAAGGAUUUAUCGUGCUUUUCCCAUACGGACUAUAUUUUGGAGUGAGCAAUAGGUAAUAUUUUUGACGAUGAGUUGAUGAUCGUGAGAACUUUUUUAGCAAGUUAUUUAUUCAUUGACUUAUUGGUAUAUUAUGAUUACACAUACUAAUGGGAUUCAUUGUGACAUAUUCCUACAUGCAUAUGAUAUAAUUUGGUCAGUUUCAUUUCCCAGUUCUUCCCCUUUCUCUUACCAUCUCCUUCUCCCUGGUCCACUUUCUCUACUCAACUGGUUUCCCUUCCUCUCCCUUCCAUUAUAAGAACUCAUUUUUGAGGUGGGGGAAGGGACUGAGGAUUGAACCCAGGUGUGCUUUACCAUUGAGUCCCAUUCCCAGUCUUUUUUAUUUCUUUAUUUUGAGACAGGGUCUUAAUAAGUUGUUUAGGGUCUUGUUAAUUCUCCCAAAUAUGAGAAUUCUGAAGAAAUGAAUCAUGAAAGGAAGCUAUCAAAUAUUAUAGGGUUAUCUUUUAUAUACAGUACAGUUAUACAUUUUUUGAGGCAUACCAUUGAUGGCAUAUAUCUUAUGGAUAAAAAAUUGUUUUCAGCCUAAGGAAGAGAUGUAAAUAUAUGUAAAAUAUAUUUAUAGUAUCAAAAUAACAAGUCACAUUGCCAUAAACAACAUGACUACUGAGGGUUGACUACUGAAUGUACUUUUGGGUCAGGGGAUAUAGGGGAUUGAACUCAGGGAUACUUGACCACUGCACCAUAUCCCCAGCCCUAUUUUGUUGUUUUUUUUGGGGGGUGGGGGUGUACGUGGGGAACAGGGUCUCACUGAGUUGCUUAGUGCCUUGCUUUUGCUGGGCUGGCUUUGUAUUUGUGAUCCUUCUGCCUCAGCCUCCCAAGCUACUGGGAUUAUAGGCAAGUGCUACCACGCCUGGCUUUGAAUG